This is a long non-coding RNA of Oenanthe melanoleuca, 1433 nucleotides long. RefSeq lists it as uncharacterized. The record is from RefSeq and is a predicted model, not a curated record. Lineage: Eukaryota; Metazoa; Chordata; Aves; Passeriformes; Muscicapidae. The transcript is spliced from 2 exons.
CGGCCCGACAGGCGCGCUGAGGGCAGCCCGCGCCGAGGACCCCGCGCGGCGGCGGGAACGGGCGUGAGGGGAGGGCGGGGUACGGGCACCGCCGUGAGGGGAUGAGCUCCUCUGAGGGUGCUCUGCUACAAAACACACGCUCCCCGAGCCUCCACACCUGCCGAGUCCGCCCCUUGUCCUUCUGCUAAUGGUUGCUGCAGCUAAAUGUGACUGAGGACCGAGAUAACGACGCUCCUGCCUAUAAAAAUUGGUAACAGAGGAGAAAGGCCUUCCAAAACCUACAUUUCUUCUGGGAAAUGGCUCAUUAGGCCUGCCGUUAACUACAAGGAUAGAUUGAGACGCGAAUCAUAAGCUUUAUUUUCCCACCUUUAUUACAAAAACAUUUUAAAACAUGGCUAUCCUAUUCCUAAAAAUUGAAAAUGCAAACUUUCAGUUUGGACGUGCCAUCACUGCUGUUGGGGCAGGAACACAGCUCUCAGCAGACAAACACACCAGGCAGCAAAACAUCACCAGCACUGGGUUUCAGGUAACACUAAAAGUGUAUUGGUGCUGUGUGGUGGCUGGGACACGAGUUACGGUCAAUAAAACCUCAAUAAACUAAAAGUGGAUUUGUGUUCUUCCAGGAAUCAUCAGAACAGCUGCUUUUUACCAGUUUGUGUUUGAAUGCUCCUUCAGGAAGGCAGCCACAGACCCAGCUGUGUGGGAUCUGCCUGUGAAGGCACUUCAGGACAGCUCUGCAGAGACAGACUGCUAAAGAAACAGUCCAGCCCAGCACGGGGCACUCCGUGCAAGGAAGCCCAAGAGGGGUCCAAACGUGUUGUGUUCAGGAUACCGUAUUUUAAGAUGCACACUCCAGUUGCUAUCAAGCCAUUACCUUCCCUGUGACCCAGCGUUACUGAAUUUGUCCCCUGGUGUCUGACUCCCGGCAUGAGUCAGGGAGACAAAAUGGAGAGGUUUGGAAGGUGAGUCACAAUAAUUCAACUGCAGGGCUGGGGUUUAUCCUUUCAACACGCCCUAAGCAUGGCUUGUCCCAAUGGCAGUCUGGAGGUGAAGUAAACCACAGUAGUUUCCCGAACUUUUGAAUGGUUUAAUUCAGCCAGAUCAAGACCUGUCAUAUGCAGAUUUUUCUGAGCCCUUUUCCUCUAGAUACUCAAGAUUUGCUGGUCUGUUGAACCUCUUGCCCAAUUCUGGCUCUACUUUUUUAUAUGUACUCACACUGGCCUAUGUAUUUUAUAACACACACAAACAUAAUAAAAAAAUUGUUUAUUAAAGUAGUUACACUAUAAAUAUUAGUUAUUUUACAGAUAAAACAUCAAGUGGUUUUGUAUAGGGGUUGGGGUUUUUUUAUUUAAUUUUUAUUUUUUACCAAAAGUGAAGUACUUUCCUCCCAGUUUGAACAUAUUUUUUACUCAUUCACAUGAUCUUGAAAGUAU